Molecule: ribosomal RNA, 505 nt
Filed under: uncultured bacterium
Lineage: Bacteria
Description: partial 16S ribosomal RNA
Rfam family: Bacterial small subunit ribosomal RNA
Source: RNAcentral
GACGAACGCUGGCGGCGUGCCUAAUACAUGCAAGUCGAACGCACAGUUUAUACCUUAGCUUGCUACACCAUAGACUGUGAGUUGCGAACGGGUGGGUAACGCGUAGGUAACCUGCCUGGUAGCGUGGGAUAACUAUUUGAAACGAUAGCUAAUACCGCAUAAUAUUAAUUAUUGCAUGAUAAUUAAUUGAAAGGUGCAAUUGCACCACUACCAGAUGGACCUGCGUUGUAUUAGCUAGUAGGUGAGGUAACGGCUCACCUAGGCGACGAUACAUAGCCGACCUGAGAGGGUGAUCGGCCACACUGGGACCGAGACACGGCCCAGAAUACUACGGGAGGCAGCAGUAGGGAAUCUUCGGCAAUAGACGAAAGGCUGAAUGAGCAACGACGGGUGAGUGAAGAAGGUUUUCGGAUCGUAAAGGUCUGUUGUAAGAGAAGAACGGGUGUGAGAGUGGAAAGUUCACACUGUGACGGUAUCUUACCAGAAAGGGACGGCUAACUACGUG